CAAAAAUAUCUAAGGAGGACUAUAGCUUUGGGGGUUGUGAGUGUAAGUAUAGAUUCUUACUUUUCUGA
This 68-nucleotide transfer RNA is filed under the name Mediaster aequalis. RNAcentral describes it as "tRNA-Pro". The record is from RNAcentral. Lineage: Eukaryota; Metazoa; Echinodermata; Asteroidea; Valvatida; Goniasteridae.